UACGUAGGGUGCGAGCGUUGUCCGGAGUUACUGGGCGUAAAGCGCGCGUAGGCGGGUUGGCAAGUCUGCUGUGAAAGCCCGGGGCUUAACUCCGGAGGGUCGGUGGAUACUGCCAGUCUUGAAGGUGCUAGGGAGAGAUGGAAUUACCGGUGUAGCGGUGAAAUGCGUAGAUAUCGGUAGGAACACCAGUGGCGAAGGCGGUCUCUUGGGGCAUUCUUGACGCUGAGGCGCGAAAGCUGGGGGAGCGAACGGG
This 253-nucleotide ribosomal RNA is filed under the name uncultured bacterium. Its description in RNAcentral is "partial 16S ribosomal RNA". It matches the Rfam family "Bacterial small subunit ribosomal RNA", at positions 524 to 776 of the family's 1533-position model. The record is from RNAcentral.